AACUCAAGCUAAUAGACCUCGGCGUAAAGAGUGUUUAAAACUACAACCCAAUAAAGCUGACUCAUAACUAAGUUGUAAAAAACCGCAGUUACGGUAAAAUAUACUACGAAAGUGGCUUUAGCAUCCUGAAUACACUAUAGCUAAGGUACAAACUGGGAUUAGAUACCCCACUAUGCUUAGCCCUAAACACCAAUAGCUCUACCAACAAAACUAUUCGCCAGAACACUACAAGCAACAGCUUGAAAUUCAAAGGACCUGGCGGUGCUUUAUAUCCUUCUAGAGGAGCCUGUUCUAUAAUCGAUAAACCCCGAUAAACCUUACCACCUCUUGCCAU
RNAcentral lists this ribosomal RNA (334 nucleotides) under Pithecia pithecia (white-faced saki). RNAcentral describes it as "partial 12S ribosomal RNA". It matches the Rfam family "Bacterial small subunit ribosomal RNA", at positions 537 to 987 of the family's 1533-position model. The record is from RNAcentral. Lineage: Eukaryota; Metazoa; Chordata; Mammalia; Primates; Pitheciidae.